Molecule: RNA transcript, 1379 nt
Organism: Brassica napus (rape)
Lineage: Eukaryota; Viridiplantae; Streptophyta; Magnoliopsida; Brassicales; Brassicaceae
Exons: 5
Source: RefSeq, a predicted model, not a curated record
AAAGAAAUAAAUCAUUCAUAAAGCAUGGUCGAUUAAUAGUGCAGGAGGCUACCAUCUUCAAUAAACGACUCUUUGAAGAGGAGCAGAAUCUGUUUUGGGUUUUCUCCUCUUGGCCUAGCUCGAAGACCCUUUCGUUGAUUGAAUCUUAAUUGAGAGUUUUUGAUUGAGGGUUUCGAAGGAUGAUGGUAGCGAAAAGCUUCGAUCUUUGGCAAAAGGAUGUCUUAUUCUCCGCCGCCGAGGAGGUUCAACAAUCUGCCGAUACGAUGGAAUCUGCAUAUAGGUUGUGGAUUAAAGAGAAGAGAGAAAGUGGUCGAGUCUAUGUAGAAUCAGACCACCUCUGCAAUGAACUUCAAGCAGCUUUGAGCACAGCUAAAUGGCAGCUGGAAGAGUUUGAGAGGGCAGUGAGGUUGAGCCAUGGGCGUUGUCGAGACGACACCACGUUGACUAGGCACAAACACUUUGUCUCCGCUGUCGAAAAUCAGAUUCAUCGAGUGCAGUCCGCUUUGAGUGAGAACGGGGAACAGCCUUUGCGUUGGGUGGAUCUUAACAAAGAGGAGCGUGAUGACCUUGCCAUGUUUCUGUCUGGAUCUUCUCAGACAUCUGAGAGUUUCAGCAGUGAAAGCAUCAACUUGAGUAGAUGUUACGGUGACUGUGUGAUAGACAUUGACGACGAGAGAGGUAGCCCUGAAAGUGCUGGUAAUAGAAACGGUACAAGAAGAACAUGGAGUUCACCUAAUGUUCCUGAUAUUAGCGCGUUGAGGAUUAAUGUUCCUCUUGAAGAAGAGGAGAAUAAGAGAUAUGUGUCGCAAACAGAAGCUACUCCUAAAGAAAAAGGAUAUAAGCCUCUGUUUUGGAUGCAGAGAUUUCGUGAUUAUAACCAGCUCUUUGACAGAGUCAGAUACUAUCAAAGGCGGUUUGGGGUUCCAUUAAACCGACCGGUUCGCAUUCCAUUUAACCGACCGGUUCAGCUCAUUCUUUCCUUGGCGUUACUAUUGUUUCUUCUAUGUGAGUUCAUCUUCUCUCUAGGGUUCUCAUAUUGUUUCAUCAGAGUCUUUUAAGUUUUCUGUCUUUGUUCCUUCCCUUGCAGUACUCUUUCGAGUUUAUUAAUCUUGAGAACUGAAACUCUCAAGAACACUUGACAGAUUCUUGCGUGUUGGUCACACAACUUUAGAUGCUACAUGAUUCAACGUCCCUCAAGAAGGGCGAGAGAUUAAAAAAGGCUUUGUCAAGAACCAAAGGAGAACAAGCCUGGUUAUUUUUAUCUCUCUCAUAACCUCAGGGAACAUAUGAUAGGAACCUGUAAAGACAGUUGUAGAUCUAUUUGUAAAACUUGAAGCUACGUUUCUAAAGAAAACCAAUGCGUGUUGUGUUCAGCGAUA